AAUAUUGCACAAUGGGCGAAAGCCUGAUGCAGCAACGCCGCGUGAGUGCUGAAGGCCUUCGGGUUGUAAAGCUCUGUCUUCUGGGACGAUAAUGACGGUACCAGAGUAGGAAGCCACGGCUAACUACGUGCCAGCAGCCGCGGUAAUACGUAGGUGGCAAGCGUUGUCCGGAUUUACUGGGCGUAAAGGAUGCGUAGGCGGAUACUUAAGUCAGAUGUGAAAAUCCCGGGCUUAACUUGGGAACUGCAUUUGAAACUGGGUAUCUAGAGUGCGGGAGAGGAAAGUGGAAUUCCGAGUAUAGCGGUGAAAUGCGUAGAGAUUAGGAAGAACACCAGUGGCGAAGGCGACUAUCUGGACCGUAACUGACGCUGAGGCAUGAAAGCGUGGGGAGCAAACA
Molecule: ribosomal RNA, 397 nt
Filed under: uncultured bacterium
Lineage: Bacteria
Description: bacterial SSU rRNA
Rfam family: Bacterial small subunit ribosomal RNA
Source: RNAcentral